AAAGUCUCAUAUUCCACUAACUUGUGACAAAGAAUAAAAUCUCACAUGAACUUACCAUACCCCUCACGGAAUCCAAAUGUGUAAAAUUUUUUGGACAUUUGUAUUCCAGACUUCUUCUCGCGCUUUGGGGCCCCUGAAAUGCCGGGGCGGUAUAUGCCCCACAUGCGACCCCAUUUUGGAGAGAGGACACCCCGGGGCGUUUCGUGAUGGGCAUGGUCAGUGCAUGGAGGUUUUUAUUUUUUGUCACAAGUUAGUGGAAUAUGAGACUUUGUUAGAAAAAAAA
Long non-coding RNA from Bufo bufo (common toad), 283 nucleotides. RefSeq lists it as uncharacterized. The record is from RefSeq and is a predicted model, not a curated record. Lineage: Eukaryota; Metazoa; Chordata; Amphibia; Anura; Bufonidae. The transcript is spliced from 2 exons.